This is a long non-coding RNA of Toxorhynchites rutilus septentrionalis, 731 nucleotides long. RefSeq lists it as uncharacterized. The record is from RefSeq and is a predicted model, not a curated record. Lineage: Eukaryota; Metazoa; Arthropoda; Insecta; Diptera; Culicidae. The transcript has 3 exons.
AGAUGUUGUCGAUUUGAAAAUGUGUCGUUUCGUGGGAAUCAUCCUUUAUGCGGGAGGAAUCCUGAGAAGUCACAGCAGCACAGAUAACUUCUCACAAUUUGUGACCCGUUCAAAAUGAAAAAUCAAAUCAGCAAAGUGAUUUCAAGUGUGGCAGUCAUAAAUUUUGUCUGGCGACUUCCCUAAACGGCCGACUUGGACAGCUAUAGCGAAACUAGUGAUGUUGGAUUUUUUAAAUUCAUCGUUCACCAACUAAUCAAAUAUUUUUCAGCUGUUCGUUAUUCGAUACGAUUAGUCCCCACAAUCCAAUCGACGAAAAAAACAUCGACCUAACAUUGGCAGAAUCGUUGUGACAUCUCCUGCCACUCCUUGACUAUAGGUGACUGGGCGAAAAUACGGAAUGAUCAACAAAACGAAAUGGCAUCACUUGUGGUUUUUUUCUUCCCCGUUCAAAUGUCAGCUCGUACAAAAACAAAUGGAUCAUACAAUUGUUGCUGGACACACAAAUACUGAGAGAGAGAGAGUGAAAUUAUUCCUCUCGCGAGCGAUAAACCUCUACGCUUCGUAUAUUAUGAACCUGUCCAUAUCCCCCCAAUACAUGUCCAUUAUACCCGCAUCGAUAAAAAAAGUUGUACUUUUCGGCUUGUUUGAAUUUCAGUGUAAAACAUGGAAAAACACAUUAUUAUAAAACAUUUGGCCAGUUAUUUCGAAAACCAGUAUAUUGAACUGUAAGA